Molecule: ribosomal RNA, 1713 nt
Filed under: Triticum aestivum (bread wheat)
Lineage: Eukaryota; Viridiplantae; Streptophyta; Magnoliopsida; Poales; Poaceae
Description: partial small subunit ribosomal RNA
Source: RNAcentral
AUGACUUCGCAAUUUUUAGGCAGUCUGGGGUGCAACGCUGGCCAGGCGUGUAGCGCCGAUCUUACUCUCACCACCCAGCCGCCUCCCACGACCAGAAACCCCUGGCCACCGCGGCCGCCGCGAGGCAUCCAUCCCCGGCCGCCGCUGGCCUCCAUCCCCGGCCGCCGCGAGCGCCACCGCCCUACGUGCCCGCAUCUAUCCCAUUCCCGGCGACAAGGUCGCCGCCUAUGGAUCUCUCCUGCAGCCUCCGUUCGUGCUAGUGGAGGGAGAAAUUCCCUGCAGCGGCCAAAUCUUGGCGCCGCUAGUGAUCUCUGCCUCCAUCUCCACUUCACUGGAGCAAUCAGUCCAGAGGAGGAGGUGAUAUAUUUGGACCUUUGCCUUGUCAGUACAACAUCACGCUCCAUAGCCGGGCACGAGAAAAGUUGCGUGCAGGCCACCCUGUGCUCCGUCCUCUAUCCGCCUCAGUCAUCUCCCUCUCAUCCUCUCUCUGCUCCGUGUGUGUGUGUGCAGGGAGUGGGAGGAGAUAGAGCAGGGGAGUGGGAGGCCCUUCCAUGGCGAAUGCAUAGGCAUCUUCCAUGGAGAUUUACAGAGAAGCUUCAGUACGAGAAAAAGUGGGUCAUCAGUUCAUCCAUAUGCAACCUCCUGCGUGGUCGUCCAUUUUUUUUUGGAGCCUACUCACUGCAAAGCACAAAAGAGGUUGGUGCUCACCUUCUUCGAGACUGCCGCCGCUCCCACAUUUCCAGGCUCUACGGCAAGACCUACUGCAUCGCCACCACCACUGUUGUAGCGAAGACGACGACUAGAUGUAGAUCGGCGAGUGCGGGAUCAACCUCAGCAGCAGCCAGAAGCAGCGCAUUCAGCUCGACCGCGCCGUCUACCAGGACUGUGACAUCUAACUCCUUGAUGACGUCUUCAGCGCCGUCGAUGCGCACCGGCAGUGAGAUCUUCAAGAUCAUGAAUUUAGGAAGCUGCAACCUUUGGCAUUAUUCUAUACUGAGAUUUUGGUGCGAGAACAAGAACGUCGAGAGCAUGUGCAUGAACACUUCGUGUGUGUAUUGUGUUGCCCUCGAGCUGUAUGAGAGGCCGCCCGCGGAGCCGAGGAAGUCGCCGAUCUGGUCUGAAUAUGUUGCCCCCACCAUGCUGAUUUACUACUGCAACGUCGUUGAUUCCCCGCCUUCGAACUGCUCCCUCAAUCCCUUCCGUGGACCACCGCCGACGGUGGGAUGCACCUUCCACGGGAAGCCAUGUGACCGUGUAGACGCACGCGUCUCACCUCAAACACAUCCUAGGCUGGUGCACGAGUUGCCGAGGAAACACCCAAGGUUGUGGCCUCUCGACCACAACUUCGUCUCAUGGAAACUGUUGGAUGUGGACAGCCAGAACGAGUUCAAGUCUACGUGGCUCAUCAAGGAGAAAAAGAAGAGGAACUCGAGUGAUUUUUGUGUUGCUGACAAAGCUACACAAUACCAUAUAACUGGAAUUAACCGAUGCAACUCUAAGAAGGAAUGGCCGGUGCUGCCGGCUGGUGUCAAGUUUGAUCCCAUGGAUCAGGAGCUGAUUGAGCACCUUGAGGCCAAAGUGAGUGCUGACAGCGCGAGAUCUCACCCUCUCAUCAAUUUGUUCAUACCAACCAUCGACAGCGAGCACGGCAUAUGUUACACCCAUCCUGAGAAACUUCCAGGUAAGACACAGACCGGCCGUCUACUGACCUAG